Molecule: ribosomal RNA, 274 nt
Filed under: uncultured bacterium
Lineage: Bacteria
Description: partial 16S ribosomal RNA
Rfam family: Bacterial small subunit ribosomal RNA
Source: RNAcentral
AUACGGAGGGUCCGAGCGUUAUCCGGAAUCAUUGGGUUUAAAGGGUCCGUAGGCGGGAAUCUAAGUCAGUGGUGAAAUCUUGCAGCUCAACUGUAAAAUUGCCAUUGAUACUGGAUUUCUUGAAUUAGUGUGAAGUGGUUAGAAUGUGUAGUGUAGCGGUGAAAUGCAUAGAUAUUUCACAGAAUACCAAUUGCGAAGGCAGAUCACUAACACUAUAUUGACGCUCAGGGACGAAAGCGUGGGGAGCGAACAGGAUUAGAAACCCUAGUAGUCC